RNAcentral lists this ribosomal RNA (253 nucleotides) under uncultured bacterium. Its description in RNAcentral is "partial 16S ribosomal RNA". It matches the Rfam family "Bacterial small subunit ribosomal RNA", at positions 524 to 776 of the family's 1533-position model. The record is from RNAcentral.
UACGUAGGGGCCGAGCGUUGUCCGGAGUUACUGGGCGUAAGGCGCGCGCAGGCGGCGCAUCGCGCCCGGCGUGAAAGCCCCCGGCUCAACCGGGGAGGGUCGUCGGGGACGGGUGCGCUUGAGGACGGCAGGGGCAGGUGGAAUUCCCGGUGUAGUGGUGAAAUGCGUAGAGAUCGGGAGGAACACCCGUGGCGAAGGCGGCCUGCUGGGCCGAUCCUGACGCUGAGGCGCGAAGGCGUGGGGAGCGAACGGG